AGAAGGCCAGAGCACCUGGGACCUUGUUUUACUAAAGCUUAUUAUGUUUCAGUGGCCCUGGUUCCCCAUGACAAAAGUACAAAGAGUACCCGCAAGAAGUAAGUUGAAGAUAAGGAGUGAGGAGAAGGAAGGUUAGUGGUAAGGCCACCAGUGAUUCUAACAGCAAAGGGACAAGAAAAAAGACUGGAACUUUAUUUAGAGGAUAAAGCUGAUGCCUGGCUUGCCAUCUUGCCCAGAUGGGACCUCAGCUAUGAGGGAAGCCAACUUCUGUGUCAUGAGGACAUUCAAGCAGCACUAUGGAGCCAUCCAUGUGGCUAGGAGCUGAAACUGAGCCAAGAAGCAGUGAGGAACUGGCUGGUAACAGCCAUGUGGGUAAAAGCCAUCUGAGAAGUGCAUGCUCUAGUCUCAGUCAAGCCUUCAGAAGACUGUGGCACCUGACAUCUCCACUGCAACCUCAUUAGAAACUCAAGACAGAACUGCCAGAGAAGCUCUUCCUGAAUUUCUGACCUACAGAAACGGUGUCAAAAAGAUAUUUAUUAUUGUUUUGAGCCCUAAGUUUUUGGAGUGACUUGUUGCUCCAAAUAUAUUAGAUAAUAUAUUAUAUAUGUAAGGUAACAUUUCAGUUUUGACAUUUUCACAUGCAUGAUCAGUUAUUUCAGCACUAUUUAAAAAUUUCUUUCUAUCUUCUGUUA
This 692-nucleotide long non-coding RNA is filed under the name Homo sapiens (human). RNAcentral's name for it is "non-protein coding LINC02555:16". The record is from RNAcentral. Lineage: Eukaryota; Metazoa; Chordata; Mammalia; Primates; Hominidae.